RNAcentral lists this small nuclear RNA (107 nucleotides) under Cervus elaphus hippelaphus. The record is from RNAcentral. RNAcentral also lists the same sequence under 1 other name. Lineage: Eukaryota; Metazoa; Chordata; Mammalia; Artiodactyla; Cervidae.
GUGCUCGCUUCGGCAGCACAUAUACUAAAAUUGGAACGGUACAGAGAAGAUUAGCAUGGCCCCCACGCAAGGAUGAUGUGCAAAUUCAUGAAGCGUUCCUUAUUUUU